Molecule: long non-coding RNA, 4967 nt
Filed under: Cucumis sativus (cucumber)
Lineage: Eukaryota; Viridiplantae; Streptophyta; Magnoliopsida; Cucurbitales; Cucurbitaceae
Description: long non-coding RNA (CSAT_LNC002764)
Source: RNAcentral
GUGGAGUUGGUGCCUGACGCCUUGUCUGGUGUCCGUGUCCAUGGGGUGUGCAUUCAUACACGCACAUGGGGCUGUCGUGGGCACGUGUAGCGACAUGCAUGCGGAGCUCAUGGGCUGCCUUCCGUGGGCACAUGCCAAUGUCAUGGGCAUGUGUCGUGGGCACAUGUGGGCUGUCACAUGGUCGUGUUGGGCUGUCGUUCGGGCGUGCUUGGCUCCUCCUUGGCAUUCCUUUGGGAAUCUUGUAGCACGUUUUGGUUCAAAAAGUAGGGUCGUUUCGCGGGACGUGACAUCCUCCCCCACUCAACCUUCGCAACGUCCUUGUUGCGACAUUACUACGCGACCCUUUCCCUUUGCGGUGUCUUCUUGUCUUCAUAGUUCCUAGUAUGACCUUCCCUGUCAUUCCUAUGCAUUUGAGGGGCACCCCCCUCUCCUUGUUGAAAAACUAGGGUCUUCCUUGUGGCAUCAACAUAGGCAUGGGCUUGUUUCAUGAAGUCCAACCCUAGGACAAUUUUAGAAUCAUCAAGAGGUGCUAGGAGGAAGUCUACUUUACCUUUCCACUCUCCUAUCUUCACCUUGACAUUCCAAUCCCAUCCAUAGUUGUGUGUUGGUUCGACAUUGAUUAUCUUCCAUUCAAAGUCGUCCCUCCUCAUGAUCCUAAGGCCUAGCCACUUCGCCUCUUAUGGAUCUAAGAUAUUGUUGGUUGCACCUGUAUCCAGCAAUGCUAAGGCAGCCCGAUCGUUGAGUGUGGUGUCCACGUACAAUAAACCUCUCCAUGUAAGUUCUUUUGAAGAAGGGCCUACCUUCAUGGCAUCGAGGUAUUGCAUUUCUCCCAAGUGUGCCUCUUUGGGUGCUUCUUCCUCUUCUCCCUCGUGGAGCUUUGCCACCAAUGCACUCAACAUUUUCUUUUGUGGAAAGGGCUAUAAAUACUUGGGGAGGGCCUCAUUUGUACCAAGCCUUGCAAACCUUGCAACUUGGCAUGUUUUAGCCAAGCAAGGUCACCUUGUCUCACCUAGUCUCCUUGCCCAUGGCACCCCAUUAGAAGAGACAACAUAUUUGUACCCAAAUGUGUAUUUAUCUAUUCUUGGAAUGUAAUGUAUCAUUUCCAACAUAUUUGUACCCAAAUGCAUGUAGAGGACACCUUGGUCUAAAAAGAACCGCUAGAAUUCUUUUAGAAAGUGGGUUAUAUUGAAAUUACUUUUUAUCGAUGCUUAUGCUUAUUGUGAAUCAUGUGCAAAGUGUCAAAGAACUGGUUCACUGUGAAAUUUUAUUACAAUUAAUUUUGAAUAUGAAAUCUUGAUAGAGUUUAGACAUGCAUAGUGGAAAUCGGAUCUAGAAAAUUAUCCUAAUUGCUAAGAUUAACAUGCAUAAAAAUAAACCCUAUAUUAAAUAGAAAUUAGAGUUUUAAUGAAACUUACACUAAAAGCUCUGAUUGAUGCUUAAUUUUUUGCUUGAACUCAAAUGGACCACAACUAGUAGUCACCUACCUAUCUUUUGAGAACUGGGUAGUGGGACCCAAUAGAUGAUAAAAUCGAGAGAGAUGAAAUUGGAAAGUCAAUAAUGAUUUUCAAAGGUCAAUAUUUGGAUUUUUUUUUGUGUGUGUGGAGAAAUUCUUUCAAAAGCCGGUGAACAAAGAUUAUUAGAUCUUCAAGAGAUUGAAGAGUUAAGGUUAGAUGACUACCAGAACUUUAAAAUUUACAAAAAGAAAAUUAAAUGUUUCCAUGAUAGUAAGAUUCUAAGAAAGAACCUUGAGGUUGGACAAAAGGUUCUCCUCAAAAACUCUAAGAUCAAGCUCAUGUUCGAUAAGUUGAAAUCCAAAUGGGUAAGUCCUUUUAUUAUAACUAAUAUCUCUCCUUUUGGUGCAGUUGAUGUCAAUAGUUUAGACACAAGAAAAGUUUCAAAGUGAAUGGACAUAGACUCAAAGUUCUAGAAUUCUAUAAGACUCAAAGUUCUACUAUAAGAAAAAUAAAAUUCUAGAAUCAACAUUACCCACAUAUGUUAAUAAAGAUCUUUAUAUUGAUAAUAAAAAUAUAAAUUACAUUGUCGACAAAGGUUUUACAAGAAUCCAAUAAAUAAUAAGUAAUACAUGUAUGGGUCACCUAAUCUAAUCAAACUAACACACAAAUCAACUUAAUCUCAUGGUCCAUGAAUUCUUCUUAAUAAGCACACAAAUGAACUUUCCAAAACAAGCGAAGGUAAAAAUAAAAUUCGAACUGUAAUUGAAGUUUGAAAUGUCACUUGCAUUAAUACAACUAAGCUUUAUAUCAAACUUUACUGACACAAACAGUAUAAUCCACGACAUAAUAACAACAUAGAUAAGCUUCAAGUCAAAAUAAACUUAAAAACUUAAGGAAAUGUAGUCAACUCUACUUACAUAUUAGAGUCAACUUUUAUGGAUAUUUUUGUCAAAAAGAAAUAAUUAUCUUCGUUUUUAUUAUUAUUAAUUUGAUUAUUUAAAUAAAGGAUAUUACUUUAAAAUAUGGAUAUUAUUUAAAGAUAAAAUAUUUUCUUCAUAAUAUGAAUUGUUUAUCUAUAACUUUGCAUAAAGAAGUUAUAGGAGAUAUAUUAUCGUGAUCUUUAAUUAGAUAAGUUAUUGGCUUACACUACUACAAAAACAGGCUCUCUUGACGUUUUUAAACGGUCAAGAGAAGGCUUUCUUGACGGUUUUAAAACCGUCGUUGAAGCCAGCGUCAAGAAAGGCAAAGUUCUUGACGGUUGAUUAAACGUCAAGAAUAGUGAACGUUGACGUUUUAUAAACGUCAAGUAUACUUAUGUUCAUGAAGUUUUAGAACCGUCAAGACUGAUAUUAUUUAUGACAUUUUAAAACCGUCAAGGAUGAACUGAUUUAUGACAUUUUAAAACCGUCAAGAAUUUUAAUAUUCAUGACAUUUUAAAACUGUCAAGAAUGUAAUUGUUCUUGACAUUUGUAAACCGUCAAAAAUGCAAUUGUUCAUGAUAGUUUAAAACCGUCAAGCUUGCAAUUGUUCAUGACAUUUUAAAACCGUCAAACAUUUUUUAAUUUUUUUAAAAAAAUAAUUUGUAAUUGAAUUAUGCUGUAAUGGAACGAUGAUUGUCCUGUAAUUGUCCAGAAACAGUUUCAUAGAUAUUUGAUAUUCAUCCAAUAUAGUUUCAAAUCUCAAAAAUAUAUAAAUAAAAUCAUUCAGCAUAUAUAAUAUUCAAUUCCAAGACUUUACAUAUACAUAAUGAAAUAGGCUUUACAUUAUAUUUCAUAUGGCAUUACAUUGGCAUGAAUUCAAAUCAACUUACAAAGUCACAAAACAUGACAGCUACAACAAUAAUCAAAAGUAUAUACAACUUACCCAAAUCAAAAGUAUAUACGAAUGAACAAACCUUAUACAACUUACCCAAAUCUUCGCGAAAGAAAUCGAGCAGUAGCUUUGCGAAGAGACGACGUGCGACGACCGUAUACAGACGGCCGGAGAGUCGCGCGGCAGUGCAGACAACGGAGGAGAAGGGAUCGGCGGCGGCUGGCUUGGACGACGGUUGUGAGCGGCGGACGUGGCGAUUACUGCUUCACACGGUGGCUCGGCUUCGACGGAGACAGAACAAGACGCGGAAACGGUUGCAGCGGCGGUGAGGCUGUGCACGGCGACGCAAAUCUGGACCGGGCAGCGGCGGAAGGGCAACGGCGCGGUCUUGCGGUGCAGAUCUGGACGGCGGCACAUCUGGACGCGUACGGCUGCUUUGCGAACUGAAGAGAAGAGGAGAAGGGUCGCGGCGCUCGGCUUCAGUAGGGGAGACGCGGCGGUUUGCGGCAGGGCUGCGGACGGAAGAAGAAAAUGGAAGGGAAGGGAGGCGACGGUUUGCGGCGGGGCUGCGAACGAGAAGGAGAAGAGGAAUGGAGUUCGGUCGGUGGCGGUUUUGCUUCGCGAAUGGAGAGAAGGAGAAGGAUGGGGCGGCUGGGCUGCGGCGGAAAGAAAGACGGAAGGGAAGGGCGGAAGGAAAAGAGAAAAGAGAAGGAAAGGAGAAGGGAAACGAGAAGGGAAAAGAGAAGGAAGCGGGGGGGUCGCGGCGCGCGAGGGAGAGAGAGAGAGAUUUCUUUUUCCUUUUUCUUUUCUUUUUAUUUAAAUUAAAUAUAAAUAAUAAAUAAAUAAAUAUAAUAUAUAUAUAUAUAAAAUAAAAAAAACAAAAUAUAUAUAUAACGGUUCUUGACGUUUUAAAAACGUCAAGCAAUUUUUACAAUAGUCUUGACGUUUUAAAACCGUCAAUAAUAUUUUAUAAAUUUCUUGACGUUUUUAAAAACGUCAAGGAUUUUUUUAUAAAUUUCUUGACGUUUUUAAAACGUUAAGUAAAAUUUUAAAUUCUUGACGUUUAAGAAACGUCAAGCAUGUCGAAUUCAUACGCUUCUUGACGUUUUAAGAACGUCAAAAAAUUAAUAGAUAUUUCUUGAUGUUUUAAAAACGUCAAGAAAAAAUUUAUUUUUUCUUGACGUUUAAUAAACGUCAAGAAUGAUGUUUCAGAAAAAUUCUUGACGUUUUUUUAUUAAAAAUGAAAUCUUUCUUGACGUUUUUCGAAAAAAACGUCAAGAAAGGAAAACAGCAACCGUCAAGAAAGCCUAUUUUUCUAGUAGUGUUAGUUCGGUGUGUGCAUAAAUGAAAAUUUAAUUUCGGACAAGUUCUCUCUUGAAGAAUUAUUAUUUGGGAUGAUAGUAGAAUUGUCUUUGUUACGAAGAUGGAUUACUGAAGUUUUGCAAGUGGUAUUUACGUUGCACCUGUUGAAAAGAAAUAUGAAAAAAAACUGAGUUAGUUGAACUGCAGUCAAUGAAUUCAAGAGGGGUCUGAGUUUAUCUUCAAGUAGAUUCAAACACAAAUUCUGGGGAGCUUGUCUUUUAUUAAGUUUUUGUUAUAACUUAAAGAGUGUUGUUGGUUACUCAUUUGAAUCUUAAUAAUAUUUCUUAUCUGAGCGGAGAAGCUCCCUAGACGUAGGUGGUAUUCGUUGGGUUAACAAAG